CAGGAUGCCACCAUGCCAUGCAUGACCCUUCCCGGCAUGAGCUGGUACAUUCCACUGCAGUCAGUGAGUUUUUGUUGCGUUUUCAAUGUUCGGAACCUGCCAAAGAAAAGUUGACGACGACGACGACGAAGAAAAAGAUCUGUGAUGAAGGCCUCUCGGUCCUGUGAAGGGAGCUGAGCUGACUAACAGGCUGUAAACACAGAAGCAGGCCACAGAGAUGUCUUUGAACAAAAGUGUGGCAUCCCUGUGGUAAGCAACCUGUCUAUGAAUACGGAGAAACUCUGAAGGAAAAGCAUUCUGUGAAGCAAGGUGUCCCCAGAGUUCAGGGACCGCCUCAGAAUCACAUUGCCUGUUAACAGUGCCACCUGGGCUCGGAAGCCUGCUCUUUCACGCCUCACCUGUGGCUGAUGGGUAAACACAGGUUCUAGAUCCUUACUGAAUGUUCUAGGGCAUAAGCCAAGAACAACAUCACAAUGGCAGAAAUCCGGGCUGAGCUUUCCUGGCAUUCACCACAUAUAACUGUGAGGCUUCUUACAGAAGGCAGAUAGAUGCCCAGUCACUGAGCUGUUGAAAUCGGAGCAUCUGCUGAGAUUAACCAUUUUCACUCUGGGAAACUAAUCAAGAAGGAUGGAAAACGUGUGAACUGGCAAUCCCUAGGUUUGAAAGGGGCAAGUGGGAAUGAAGAAAAGAAAGAGUGAGUGAACCAUAUGACCUGGUGUCUGGAGGAACCAGUGAGGCAGGGAGGCAGAAGAACCAUUGUUUGAGCUGAGGAUGCAAAUGGGACACUCAGUGAGGCCAUGCUCAGAGCAUUGGAAUGAAGGUCCCCGGAGCAGUUUGAGAUGAGCAUUUGGAGUCUUCAUAUGAGAGAGAAGAGAUUGUUCAUUCACUGGGACAGGUGGCACUCUUCGGGGAGAGGACAGGACUAGAGACCUAGUGUCCCUCUAGAGGCAAGACCUCUCUUACCUGAGUUCCGCCUUCUUCAUGUGCUACAGACCCAGCAGCAAGAACACCUGGGUCCUUCGGUCCCCCUAAAUCUCUGCGUAUGGCAGUGCCAGGCACAAGCACAAGCCCCCUUAAUGAGUGAGGAGGAUGGAGUUUGUAGCAGCUGCAGUUGGAGUUCGGCCUCUGAGACUGGCAGCAACCUGGCUCCAGGGGUGACGUUCCACUGUGCCCACUCCUGCUGGGGUUUGAUGUUGAGCGAACCGGGCUAGGGAAACCUGGCAUGUGGGUUUCUAAGUGCACGCUGAAUGCACGCUGAAUGCAGGCUGAAUGCACGCUGAAUGCAGGCUCUCCCUCAAGCCUUCUGAGGACCCUGACUGCCUGAGGUACCUCACAGCAGGAAGGCAAUGGUAGCGAGGAGCUGGGGAGGAAGACACUCUCCUCUGAGGAUGCUUCCCACCCCACCCCAGGAUGGAUCCCUGCAUGCCCCCAGGCUGCAGCAAGCCAUCCGCAUGGCAAGGGGGAGGCCUGUCUUUGUCUCUCCACGUGGGCUCAAGCUGUUUGCCCUGCCCAGGGGCACUGGAGACUUUCACACCUCUUUCCUCUGUGGCUGGGUACCUUCCACAUGUGGGACACAAGGGAGGCCUAAACCAUUUCCUCCUUUUACGACGCUGAUGGGUUUCAUAUGCCCACUCUGCGUGGGUCUGCGCUGCUGCCGGAGGAGCUGGCACACCCGUAGCCCAUCUGCAUGAGCUUAGAGAGAGCAGAGACCUGGAAGCCACACCACGGAGCUCUGCCUCUCCGCUCCCUGGCAGGAAAUGCCCUCUAGUGCAAGCUCUCAUCCAGUGGAGCGGUUAACUGGGAAGCAGGCAGCCACUUAAAGAGCCACCAUACCCCUGGGCAGAUGGUGUAAGCCCCUUAAGCCUCACUUUCCUUGACGGCAGUGGAGCCGACACCAGCAUGUGUUAUGAGGAUGGAUUGGGGUGAUCACGGAAGACCUUCCUUUGACAUCUCAGGGAAUGUCCCCCCGACUCUGCAGCUCUGAGGAUAGCCUGGAAUCCAUCACUCAAACUCAACAAACCCUUUGUAAGAAUAAAAGAAUCGCUCUCCUUCAGUAACGACAGGAUUACAUCAUCGAUCAACCACAUCCAGUGGAUAGAACUCGAGUCUGCGACUCCAGUCUGUGGGAAACUAGGGUUCAUUUACUUCAGAAAGAAGAAAGGAGGAGGAGGAGGAAGGGGAAGAUGUGAGAAGGGAGAAGAGCGAGAGAGAGCUUUAAAGCCUCACAGAUCUUGAGUGGCAAAGCCUGGCCCCUGGUCUCGUUCCCGCCCCACGCCUCAGUCUCUCCAUCUGUAAACUGGGGACAAGAUAGUCUCUUCCCCUCUGCUUGAGGAGCACUGGGAGAAGGGUGAGGUAAUGUCUCCAGGACUUCUGAGUGACUCAGAUGAAAGGCAACGCAGUAAGGACAAAGUUUCUCCAGCUACGCGUUAAAGCUCCCUAGUGUUGAAAGCACCUUUCACAUAAGCGUGCAGAAACAACUGUAAAAGGGAAUAAACACGUCCUUUGUCUC
Molecule: non-coding RNA, 2509 nt
Organism: Peromyscus maniculatus bairdii (prairie deer mouse)
Lineage: Eukaryota; Metazoa; Chordata; Mammalia; Rodentia; Cricetidae
Source: RefSeq, a predicted model, not a curated record